GACGAACGCUGGCGGCGUGCUUAACACAUGCAAGUCGAACGGAAAGGCCCCUUUGGGGGUACUCUAGUGGCGAACGGGUGAGUAACACUUGAGUAACCUGCCCUUGACUUCGGGAUAACUUUAGGAAACUGGGGCUAAUACCGGAUAGGAAUCCUUGCUGCAUGGUGGGGGUUGGAAAGUUUCGGCGGUUUUGGAUGUACUCGCGGCUUAUCAGCUUGUUGGUGGGGUAGUGGCUUACCAAGGCUUUGACGGGUAGCCGGCCUGAGAGGGCGACCGGCCACAUUGGGACUGAGAUACGGCCCAGACUCCUACGGGAGGCAGCAGUGGGGAAUAUUGAACAAUGGGCGGAAGCCUGAUGCAGAAACGCCGCGUGCGGGAUGACGGCCUUCGGGUUGUAAACCGCUUUCAGCAGGGGCGAAGCUUGUGGUGACGGUACCUGCAGAAGAAGCACCGGCUAACUACGUG
Molecule: ribosomal RNA, 465 nt
Filed under: uncultured bacterium
Lineage: Bacteria
Description: partial 16S ribosomal RNA
Rfam family: Bacterial small subunit ribosomal RNA
Source: RNAcentral